CAAAACACAUCCACUAUCAGAUAUAUCUAGGUUAUUAGGUGCAUUAGGCUAAGAAUAUUCGAAAACAUUUUGGAAACGGCAAAUUAGAUUUUUCCGAAAUUGAGUUUAACUAAAGUAGAACAUGUGAGAUAGUAAAACAAAAAACUGAAAUUUUUGUGUUGUCUAAUUGUUACGAACUGCUUUCUUGGGUGGGCAGCGCCGCUAGCUCAGCGAUCUCAUUUGGGCCAAGUUCUCCCCAAUGCCCGCAGUCCGACAACAUAAGAUACAAACAUCGAUUACGGUCGUCUCACAACACUAAACUCUUUGCGAUCACUAACAAAAAUGUAAACAAACCAAAAAACGUAAACAUUGAAAUACAAGGCGACGGAAAUUUGGAUCUUUGGUGGCCAUCGGUGUUCUUGGCCACUGCGUACCCACCCAACCUAGGAUGCCUGAAAAAGGUCUAGCAAUUCAUCAUCAUUAUAAACUGGUUUUAAUUACUCAGACCGCUGGAUCGUCAAUCGACCGCCGUCUUAAAAUUUAGCGGUCAAAGCUAAUUUUUAAGAAAAGGACCGGAAAUGUUCUGCCACCCUUAUAUCGGCAGAAUUCUUUUCGUUUACCCGGCUUAAAAUUAGGGUCACCUAAUCCUGAGGAGCUCCACAGGAAAAGAAGGGACGCCGAACGGUAAGUGAUAUCACUAUAUAACGCACAAUCCUUUAACCUAUUUCAGCGACCUAUUUGGUUCCCGAAAAACGUCGGUCAAAAGCGAAACUUGGGACAAGGCGUAAUUAAAUUGCACAAGAUGUUAUAGGACUUCAUACGCAGACGCAGCCUACCAAGGGACCGCAACGAUGAACCGAGAGGUUAAGAGGACUGGCUGGCCAAUUUGGCGGCAUCAGCAGCUCUCGGAGGAAUUCGUUGUUGAGGAACACAGUUGUAGUCACUCCGACUAGGAACGAACUCACCGGCACUUCGAUUCCUGCGUGAUUCAGUUAUAAUUUCUCCGUCAAUACUUGUACUGCAUCCAAAACGAAAUGUUUGGUCUUCCAAAAUAAAAUAAAUUUGUUUGAACUCCAACAAAAAUGUAUUUGUACUCCCAAAAGAAACGGAAGUCGGUCUCCUCCAGAAACAAAUGUAUCCAAAAAAUAUCGGCCUCCUCUGAAAGGAAAUGUGUCUUCCAAAUAAUCUUGGUUCUUCUCCAGCAAUAACUGUGUGACCUCAAAAGGAAGGUGUGUUUCUUCAAAAAAAAAAACGAGGAUGUCUUCCAAAGAGGUUAUGGGUUCUUCCGAAAAUAAAUUUUUGGUUCCUCAAAAAAUGUGGGUUUCCUCCAGAAAAAUAUAUUUGUGUUUUUCCAAAAAUUAAACGUGAUGC
Drosophila ficusphila is the source of this 1350-nucleotide long non-coding RNA. RefSeq lists it as uncharacterized. The transcript is spliced from 5 exons. NCBI's taxonomy places the organism in Eukaryota, Metazoa, Arthropoda, Insecta, Diptera, Drosophilidae. The record is from RefSeq and is a predicted model, not a curated record.